This 253-nucleotide ribosomal RNA is filed under the name uncultured bacterium. RNAcentral describes it as "partial 16S ribosomal RNA". It matches the Rfam family "Bacterial small subunit ribosomal RNA", at positions 524 to 776 of the family's 1533-position model. The record is from RNAcentral.
GACAGAGGUCCCGAGCGUUAGGCGGAAUCACUGGGCUUAAAGCGUGUGUAGGCGGACUUCUAAGUACCUUGUGAAAUCCCACGGCUCAACCGUGGAACUGCUUGGUAUACUGGUUGUCUUGGGCCAUCUAGGGGCGAGCGGAACAAACGGUGGAGCGGUGAAAUGCGUAGAUAUCGUUUGGAACGCCAAUGGUGAAAACAGCUCGCUGGGGAUGUGCCGACGCUGAGACACGCAAGCCAGGGGAGCGAACGGG